GAAAGAUGAAAAGAACUUUGAAAAGAGAGUUAAACAGUACGUGAAAUUGUUGAAAGGGAAACGAUUGAAGUCAGUCGUACCAGCGGGAAAUCAACCUUUCGAGUGGGGUUUUGGAGUUUUGAAGAGUGUCAAAACCUUUGAGAUUUCAAAAUUUUCGCUCUUUUGGUGUACUUUCUCGUGGGUAGGUUAACAUCGAUUUUUGAUCAUCAUAAAAAGAUUGGAGGAAUGUAGCUUCGAUCUUGUAUUGAAGUGUUAUA
This 257-nucleotide ribosomal RNA is filed under the name uncultured Septoglomus. RNAcentral's name for it is "partial large subunit ribosomal RNA". It matches the Rfam family "Eukaryotic large subunit ribosomal RNA", at positions 359 to 566 of the family's 3401-position model. Lineage: Eukaryota; Fungi; Glomeromycota; Glomeromycetes; Glomerales; Glomeraceae. The record is from RNAcentral.